UGAGGAAUAUUGGUCAAUGGACGAGAGUCUGAACCAGCCAAGUAGCGUGAAGGAUGAAGGUCCUACGGAUUGUAAACUUCUUUUAUAAGGGAAUAAAACCUUCCACGUGUGGGAGCUUGUAUGUACCUUAUGAAUAAGCAUCGGCUAACUCCGUGCCAGCAGCCGCGGUAAUACGGAGGAUGCGAGCGUUAUCCGGAUUUAUUGGGUUUAAAGGGAGCGCAGACGGGUCGUUAAGUCAGCUGUGAAAGUUUGGGGCUCAACCUUAAAAUUGCAGUUGAUACUGGCGUCCUUGAGUGCGGUUGAGGUGUGCGGAAUUCGUGGUGUAGCGGUGAAAUGCUUAGAUAUCACGAAGAACUCCGAUUGCGAAGGCAGCACACUAAGCCGUAACUGACGUUCAUGCUCGAAAGUGUGGGUAUCAAACAGG
Molecule: ribosomal RNA, 424 nt
Filed under: uncultured Bacteroides sp.
Lineage: Bacteria; Pseudomonadati; Bacteroidota; Bacteroidia; Bacteroidales; Bacteroidaceae
Description: bacterial SSU rRNA
Rfam family: Bacterial small subunit ribosomal RNA
Source: RNAcentral